UACAGAGGUGGCAAGCGUUGUUCGGAAUUACUGGGCGUAAAGGGCGCGUAGGCGGUCUUGUAAGUCUUGUGUGAAAUCCCUCGGCUUAACUGAGGAACUGCACGGGAUACUGCGAGACUUGAGUUCGGGAGAGGGAAGCGGAAUUCCGGGUGUAGCGGUGAAAUGCGUAGAUAUCCGGAGGAACACCGGUGGCGAAGGCGGCUUCCUGGACCGACACUGACGCUGAGGCGCGAAAGCUAGGGGAGCAAACGGG
RNAcentral lists this ribosomal RNA (253 nucleotides) under uncultured bacterium. Its description in RNAcentral is "partial 16S ribosomal RNA". It matches the Rfam family "Bacterial small subunit ribosomal RNA", at positions 524 to 776 of the family's 1533-position model. The record is from RNAcentral.